Molecule: ribosomal RNA, 467 nt
Filed under: uncultured bacterium
Lineage: Bacteria
Description: partial 16S ribosomal RNA
Rfam family: Bacterial small subunit ribosomal RNA
Source: RNAcentral
GACGAACGCUGGCGGCGUGCUUAACACAUGCAAGUCGAACGGAAAGGCCCUGCUUUUGUGGGGUGCUCGAGUGGCGAACGGGUGAGUAACACGUGAGUAACCUGCCCUUGACUUUGGGAUAACUUCAGGAAACUGGGGCUAAUACCGGAUAGGAGCUCCUGCUGCAUGGUGGGGGUUGGAAAGUUUCGGCGGUUGGGGAUGGACUCGCGGCUUAUCAGCUUGUUGGUGGGGUAGUGGCUUACCAAGGCUUUGACGGGUAGCCGGCCUGAGAGGGUGACCGGCCACAUUGGGACUGGGAUACGGCCCAGACGCCUACGGGAGGCAGCAGUGGGGAAUAUUGCACAAUGGGCGGAAGCCGGAUGCAGCAACGCCGCGUGCGGGAUGACGGCCUUCGGGUUGUAAACCGCUUUCGCCUGUGACGAAGCGUGAGGGACGGUAAUGGGUAAAGAAGCACCGGCUAACUACGU